UGGAUGGUAGAGCACUCAUUGGGUCAUCGUACUUGUUAUUACUUGUCAGGACUAGGGAACAAACGGGUUCCUGGCACAGUUGGUUUACUUGGUUGUUUAGUGAAUCCAGAGAUUGAGGGUUCGAACCUUCCUCUCCGCAGUAUUAUCCCCUAGGCUAUGAUGAAAUUGCUCUUGUGGCAACACACACAUGGGUCGCCGCGUACAUCUGACCUCCAGAUGAUUCGAGCAAACUGAGCUUGUUUUUUUUAAUAAUUGUUUUGCCAUUAUUUUGCUUCCUUUUUCUUCAUGAGAUUAGGCCACUGAUUUAGUUACUAGCAUGGAAUGUCUGGACUGCAGAGUUUAGUUGCUUUUGGUUUCGUAAUCCACUAAAAAGACAGACUCGGAACUUCACUCGUUGCCAUCACUCUAAAAUCUUAUUUUAUAUUUAUACCGUAAGCACAAAACGGUUACCGUGUGUAUACGCUCCUUUUGUGUGGUAGGUCGAUGAUUGAGUUCAGGAUCAUGGUCUUCGCUCUACAUACGUGACAAAUCUCUCUCAUUUUUUUUUGAUAAAGGACGUGACAAGUCCCAUGGUGCGCCUCUAAGCACAAUAGGAUAAUUAUUUCGAUACAUAUAUCAUGUAGUACUAAUACAUGUAUAAAAACAAGAAUACUUCAUCCAUAUACCGUAAUCUUAGUUACUUCAUCCAUAUACCGUAAGCACAAAACGGUUACCGUGUGUAUACGCUCCUUUUGUGUGGUAGGUGUCGUCGUCGCCCUCCGAUGCCGCCGCCGCCGCCGCGGUGGGCUGCCGGGAUGAUGAGAUCGCGCUGCAGCUGCUGGAGCUUCGGAGGCUCCUGGACGCGCAAAGAGCUUCCAGGGGAGGAGCGCCGAGGGGGAGGGCGGCGGCAGCGGGCCUCGGAGGGUGGCGCUGGUCGGGAUGGGACCUGGGGACCCCGAGCUGCUCACGCUCAAGGCUGUCCGUGCCAUUGAGGCCGCGGACCUGGUGCUCUACGACUGGCUGGUGUCCAACGACAUGCUGGACUUGGUCGGGAGGGCGCAAGGCUUCUAUACGUCGGCAAGACGGCGGGAUACCACAGCCGCACACAGGUGAGUAAUGCGGGACCGUCGAUUCAAUUGCGAUCAAUUGAUACACGCUGUUAGAAAUGCUAAUUGGGUGUGCAUUCGGCAAUUAACAUUUAAAGUACAUUAUUAUUAUUUUAACAAUGCAUCAGAUAGCUUUUUUGGUUGUGUAUUCCUGGCUUGGUUUUCUUAGUCGGUUCUUGGAUUUCGACCCGGCGGCAUUGGCUAAUCCGCCCUUGGCAAUGUUUUUCUACUAGUCCUCUUUUUAUGAACAGAUUUCUGGGGCUUAGCUUGCGCCCCCUCCUUUGAUUGCUUAAUUGUUCGUUUGCUCCGUUGUGUAGCCGAUUUGUUUCUCCUGCUGGUUCGGUCUGUCUCUGCGGGAUAUUUACAUAUUUGGUUCGGUUUCAUGGUUCUUGAAUCUCAUUUCCUCUCGUAUCUAAUACGCUCACCCUCCGCAGCAAGCAUCAAGAGAUUCAAGAACCAUGAAACCGACCAAAGAUCGCAUUUUCCCCAAGCAAGCAAAGGAGAAGGGUGAAGGACGUACCACGGGAUUCUUAUCGUUGAGGAGGGCGGGAUUCUCCAGCAGCUUCCUCUGGACGCCGGCGAGGUCGCCCGCGCGCGUGAGGCCGUGGAUGGUCUCGGCCUUGGCCAACCGCGGCCUCGGGCCCCGUUCUGGCUCCCCGGCAUCUCCUCCCUCCCCCUCUUUCUUUCGGAGCUCCACCUCCGUGUGUGCGCGCCCGCGUGAGCGCUCUCCGUGUGUGUGAGGAGGAGCUGUCGGGGAGGAGGAAGAAGAAGGGAGGCGACGGCGAGGCCGUGAAAGAGGACGUGCCGACGGGGAGAUGGAUGGCGUCGGGUCUGUCAGCGGGAGGUUAACGGAGGAGAAAGGCGAGGGCACACAGGUCUUUUGGCACCCCUUUUACACGCUGUCGCGGGGACGUGGCGUGCCACGUCAGCAAAAGUGGCAAAUCUAUUGCUUCGUUUCGUUCGUGAUGGUAAAAACGUACAAGCUCCCGUAAAAGUGGCAAAUGAAGGAGUGCCAUUUGCAACAGUGGCAAAUAUGUAAAUAUCCCCUCCAAAGGAAUACCUGCGACUUGUAUAAUAAUGUGAAACGGGGUUUGGUGCAUAUGUCUUACUACUAUAGUACUCAUCCUGUUCCAAAUUGUAAGUUAUUUUGGUUUUUUAGAUUCAUAGAUAUUAUUAUACAUCUAAACAUACACUAUAUCGAGCAUUGUAAAAACUAUGCAUCUAGAAAAACUAAAGCGACUUUCAAUUUGAUGACCUGCAAUUUGGAAUGGAGUAUGCAUCUAGAAAAACUAAAGCGACUUUCAAUUUGAUGACCUGCAAUUUGGAAUGGAGGAAGUGCUAAUAUAAAAUUCAAAGUUAUGCCCCUUAUGCCACAACUUUAAUUCAUUAUUGAUGGAGGAAGCACUCAUUCGGUCAUAGUACUUCCUAUUACUUAUUAGGACCAAGGAACUAUCGGGGUCUUGGCACAGUUGGUUUACGUGGCUGUUUAGUGAAUCCCAGAGAUUGGGGGUUCGAACCUUUCUCAUCGCAGUAUAUUAUCCCCCAGGCUAUGACGAACUGCUCUUGUGGCAACACAUGGGUCGCCGCGUACAUCUGACCUCCAGAUGAUUCGAGCAAACUGAGCUGUUUUUUGCCAUUAUUUUGCUUCCUUUUUCUUUAUGAGAUUAUGCCACAGAUUUUAUGGAAUGUCU
This 2776-nucleotide long non-coding RNA is filed under the name Setaria viridis. Its description in RNAcentral is "long non-coding RNA (SVIR_LNC003668)". Lineage: Eukaryota; Viridiplantae; Streptophyta; Magnoliopsida; Poales; Poaceae. The record is from RNAcentral.